GAUGAACGCUGGCGGUAUGCCUAACACAUGCAAGUCGUACGAGGGUUUUUAACUCUAGUGGCGGACGGGUGAGUAACACGUGAGAAUUUGCCUUUAGGAGGGGAUAACAAUCGGAAACGAAUGCUAAUACCCCAUAUGCUUUUGAGUGAAAUGGAUUUAUCCGCCUAAAGAGAAGCUCGCGGCUGAUUAGCUAGUUGGUGGGGUAAAGGCCUACCAAGGCGACGAUCCAUAGCUGGUCUGAGAGGAUGAUCAGCCACACUGGGACUGAGACACGGCCCAGACUCCUACGGGAGGCAGCAGUGGGGAAUAUUGGACAAUGGGCGAAAGCCUGAUCCAGCAAUGCCGCGUGAGUGAUGAAGGCCUUAGGGUUGUAAAGCUCUUUUACCCGAGAUGAUAAUGACAGUAUCGGGAGAAUAAGCUCCGGCUAACUCCGUG
RNAcentral lists this ribosomal RNA (435 nucleotides) under uncultured bacterium. RNAcentral describes it as "bacterial SSU rRNA". It matches the Rfam family "Bacterial small subunit ribosomal RNA", at positions 28 to 507 of the family's 1533-position model. The record is from RNAcentral.